UCCGGUUUAACACCGGCAGUCUCCAUAGAGUGCCCAACUAAAUGAUGGCAACUAGGGAUAAGGGUUGCGCUCGUUAAGGGACUUAACCCGACAUCUCACGAUACGAGCUGACGACAGCCAUGCAGCACCUGUCCUCCGGUCCCCGAAGGGAAAGCCCUAUCUCUAGGGUUGUCCGGAAAUGUCAAGACCAGGUAAGGUUCUUCGCGUAGCAUCGAAUUAAACCACAUGCUCCACCGCUUGUGCGGGCCCCCGUCAAUUCCUUUGAGUUUUAACCUUGCGGCCGUACUUCCCAGGCGGGGUACUUACUGCGUUAGCUGCGACACUGCAGGGGUCAAUUCCCGCAACAUCUAGUACCCAUCGUUUACGGCGUGGACUAC
This 377-nucleotide unclassified non-coding RNA is filed under the name uncultured Oligoflexales bacterium. Its description in RNAcentral is "contains 16S-23S intergenic spacer region". Lineage: Bacteria; Pseudomonadati; Bdellovibrionota; Oligoflexia; Oligoflexales. The record is from RNAcentral.